Long non-coding RNA from Ananas comosus (pineapple), 4690 nucleotides. RefSeq lists it as uncharacterized. The record is from RefSeq and is a predicted model, not a curated record. The transcript has 2 exons. NCBI's taxonomy places the organism in Eukaryota, Viridiplantae, Streptophyta, Magnoliopsida, Poales, Bromeliaceae.
CAAAAAAAACCCUUUUAACAUUCCAAAUUCUUACAAAUAUAUCCCUAGAGUUAAAUUUUUAGUGAACGGUUAGGAACAGUUGUUAUCUAUGUGAAAUUACUAUUUUGCCCUUUCUAAUAUAGCCUUCUGCGGUCACCGAUUUUUCUUAUUUGUCCAUAAGUUUGGGGCAAAAGAAGUAUUUUGACUGCUUGCCCUUUCAAAUAUAGCUUUCUACCGUCACAAACUUUUCUUAUUUGCCCGUAAGUUAGGGGCAAAAGAGAUAUUUUUGCCUUCUUUUUAACUCUGGUAGAAAUUUAAUCCGGGUUUAACUCGAGAUGACUUAACGGGUACUAACAGCAGAAAUAUUUUUGAAUAACGGAAAAAAAUAUAAGGGGUAUAUUUGAAAUAAAAAAAAGUAGGGGUAUAUAAGAUAUUUCAGAAGUUUUGAGGAAUAUAUAAGUAAUUAUCCCUUUUCUUUAUUAUAUAUUUGAAACAAACAUGGUUGCAUCCAGUAUAUGAUUUGGACCAGCAGUUAAGAACUCAUGGUUUCCAACCCUGUCCGAUAAAUUUUUGUAUCUGAAUUUGUAUUUGGAGAAAUACGGGUAUGGAAGUAGUCAGUUGCUGUCUGAACAAUAUCCGAUGCGUUUUCAUCCCUAGUAAUGUGACAGGUACUGAUUUAAUAUUCUGAAGAAGAGAUAUAGUUGCUUCUCACCCUCUAAGAAGGAAUCAUUAUCCUGAAAUUUCUUUCUUAAUACCCAUAUUGUUGUCUUGGAUGCUUCACUUCCCAGGUGGGUCACCCAUCCUAGAACUAUUCUAUCUCUAGGCUCACUCAGUCUUUUUAACCUUUUGGUUCUAGCCACCACCAAAAAGCUAUAGCUGGGUUAAGAGGUUUAGUCCUGUAUUACCUUUUAUAUAAGACUAUUAUAAAUCCUGGGGUGUUACGUCUCUUUUCAUUUUAAUUUUUUUUGCAGUGGAAAUCUUUUUAGAUUGUUUUAAGUUUUUCUUAACUUUCUCGUAUGUCAUGCAUCUAGGUAGUCUUCUUAAUCUUUGUUGUUAGAACCUUUUUGACUCUCUCUACUCUCUCUACCUGGAUUCAACCGUUAACCAGAUAGAAUUGUCCUCUUCUUGUUCUGCAGAAUGUAUUCACCUAUACAUGAACAAAUAAUAUGCAUUUUUUUUUAUAAUUUACCUCGGAAUAUUUACUUUGUUUUUUUGAUUAAUUAGAUCACUGCAGUAGGCAAGUUUUUUUUUUUUUUUGGUUUAUACAAUCUGUUUCCAGCAUAUUUAUUUUAAUGGCUUUUCUGUUUUCUGAAUUAGUAUUUUGUCGUUGACAUUUUGUUGUAUUCCAGCUUCUUUUAUUGUACCUUUUUAUGUUCUUUCAACAUACUUGUACAUCUUUUUUCUCUUUAUGCUAGUAAUCUCUAGCUACCAUUUUACCUUGAACCCUAAAUCCUAAACCCUUGGGGCAUGUUUGGUUCAUGAUUGGAAUGAGAACGGAAAGUGGAAUGAUGAAUCAUCCCUAAAUGUUUGGUUCAUUAUUGGAAUGGAAAUCAGUAUGAACAAUUGGGACACUUAGGAUUAUGAGAGAAGGUUUUGGUUGAGAGAGAAGAGAGUGACGAAGAGAGAGGGGGAAAGGUGAUUACGCGAGAGGGUUUUGAAUGAUUUACUCUGGAAUUGGCUAGUUUAGGAUUCAAAGCUGGAUUGAGUUAUAAAUGGAUUGGGCCAUUCCCAUUCUAGAGUGGCAUGAAAAUCAGAAUCUGAUUCCUAUAAACAAACAACAACUAUCGGAAUCAGUAAAUCAGUAUAUCCUAUUCCAAUUAUAGGUGAACCAAAACAUCCCUUAUUUCCUACUCACUCUCUUCAAAAUUUUCUUAUUGGAUAAUUUGAAUGUGUAAUGGCUGUUUAGAUAGUUUCUUAUCAAUGUAUAAUGGUCAAUGCCACCAAUCAAAUGAGAGGAAUAAGAGGGAUGUGUUAAAAUAUUAAAAAUGGAAGGGGAAAAAGAAUGCAAAUAUUAAGUCUGGAAAGGUAAAUAUGCAAAUUUUAAAUACUGCAGAGGUAAAAGAUACAAAGUUAACUCCUCAUCUUGGAAAAUUCUAGAUGCAUUUUAGAAAAAAUUAAUUUGCAUCAUAUAGCUAAGAAAUUCGGUUGUACUGGGAACAAGAGCUCUUUUAUGUUGGAUGUCCAUAUGCUUGGGUUUUUGUUCAAACAGGCUGUUUGGCCUUGUUUGGAUGUCGUCCAAUGUUAACUUAUUUCAGUAUGAGAAUUUUCUUGUAUUAUUGGAAGCAAGGAGUUUGCUUUUUGCUCUUUAGAAGGUCUUAGCAUUCAUGAUUUGGUAGGAUAACAUAUUUCAUCCCACAAGAUGAUUUAUCCAAUUGUAAAAAAUAGUAAUAAUAACUUGAAGGUUGAAUAUGGUACACUUCUCAUUCAAUAUGUUCAUGCAUCUAAGCAGGGCCUCAAUGUCUUACACUGAUGUCCAAGUAUUUCUUCAUUUUCCUUGCCAAAGGAGGCUGUGAUGAUUGCCAGUUCAGAAUGCAUCUUAAAUUUGAGUCAGGUUGGCAGCAUAUUGUGCCCAUUGACACCUCUAAGACGAAUAUCCCUCAUUAAUAUGCGGGAUGAAUGGCAUUGCAGUGAGCGGUUCAUGGCUGACGUGGUGGACCUGGUGCAGGCAAUAAUUUCUCCUUUAUCCACAUCUUUUGGGUACCUUUUUGUUGAGGAAUUCUACACUGUCACACUUGCACCAUGUCAUCAAUAACAAGCCAAUCACAUUUCUUCUUUUCAAACAAGAGUACAAUAAAAAUAUUUUUUUACAAUCAUGUUGGGACAUAUAUCCCUGAAAGGAGACAUUUGAUUGGUUUGUUACGCCACGUCACCAAUAUUCCCGUUGCAUUCUAGAAUUUUUCCUUUUUGUUCUCUGAGAAGUGGCUGGCAAUAAUUGGAAGGUCUGCUUUCUUGUAGGCAACCAUUUGCUCCCAUUUGCUCUUAAGGUGCAUAGGACUUUAUGAUUCCUUAUGAUUUUGGUGGCAGAUCUGAGCCUCCUUUUUCUUCUCCUACUUCAUUCUUGCUUCGUUUUUUUUUAUUUUUGGGUAAAAACGUACAGAACUUAUCUGAACUAUAAACAAUUUUGAGUUGGUUAUUCAACCUUUCAAAAUUUUGAUUUUACUAUCCAACUUUUCAAUUUAUUUGCUUUGAGUCGGUCAAUGGUACUUUGAACUCAAAAUUUGAAUACAUCGUUUAUCUUUGUAGGUUUAGUUAGUAUACUUCAUGCAAUUUUCGCAACUAUAAAUUCAUUAAAGUAAUUAGCUUAAAUUUUGAGAGAGAAAGAGAUGGCAUAACUAUCCGCUUCGUUCAUUCUUUAGAAAUGAACUAAGUGAGAAAUGUGAGGCAAUUAGUCUUCAAACAUGUAACCUUGGGUUCCAACCAUUUAGCUCUUAGCCAACUGCACUAGGUACGGUCAGUUACUUCAUUCUUGUUUAAACUUUUAAUAUUUUUUUAUAUGUUCUUUCUGAUUUUUUCAUGUUUUUCCAUGUUGGUUGUUGCAUGUAGGGGCAAUUUUUCUCGUUUGCCAUUGCUCGUCUUUAAACUUGUGGAUGUAUGUGCGGACAAAUACAAGCACCUGCCAUACCUCUAAGUGGUUCAAAACUUCAAAUGGCAGCAGGAAGAGGGAGGGCAAACUCAUGCAAAAUUUCCAAAACACUUGUCAAAUCUCGCCCUUUAACGCCUUGUGCAAUUUAAAGUUUUUCUCUUAGUUUUUAAUGCCUUUUUUUCGUUGAAGGAGGUGGUGAUGAUUGCUGGUUGAGAAUAUGCCUAAUUUUUUCUCCGUGCUUUCGUUUUCCUCAGAUUAUGGAAAACAGGCACACUUAAUACACAGGAAAACCUAAAAAAUCGGGUUCAUAUUUGAUAAUCCAAGGGUGACUAGAUCAGGUUGGUGGGUGAGCUCUGUCCAUCUGAUGCCCACCCUUCAUUAGUUUGUUGGAUACUUGGAAAGGCAUAUUAUGGGGCAGUGUAUACUGACAUAGCGCACCGUGUGCCGGCAGUAGCUUCUCAUAUAACUUCUCAUUUCCUCGGACUCCUGUUAUCCGUGAAGAGGCAGGGGCAUAAAUCGGAGGUCUGCCGUUCUGCAGAAAACCAUCUGCUGCUGUUUGCUCUUAGGGCUGGUUUGGAUAUCAGAACAGGCUAUCCAAGAAUAAUUUGUCCACUGUGAAGAUUCUCUUUUGUGACAGCGAGAUACAAGUUCAAUUCCAUUCUGAAAUUUCCUUUCAGUGUGGUUUGUUAUCUUAAGAUCAAACAAACUGACUGAUGCUUCUCGUUUUUUUAUUAUCCAUGUCAUUCCCAUAUCAAAGAACUGUUUUGAUGAUCGCCGGCGGUAGAUGCAAAGUACGCUGUUAAUGUUCCUGCGAUGCAAAGUUUUAUCUGAGGCCCCCUUACAUUGUCGACACGAUAAUGUUGUUAUUUACAACAGCUCUCCAGGGUAAAACAGUGAUUGUAGUUUCAGAUGAAUUACAAACAAAGGAUAUAGAAAGAGUUGAUACUUAACUAGCAGGGGAAUGUUUUGUUUCAGUUGUAUUCUUUCAUUUUGUUUCAGAUUGCUGUUUUUCUGUGGCAAGUAAGUUUGCUGAAACUGAUUUUGAAUGUGUUGCUGUAAGUUGGUUUACAUUAGUCUUUGCCUUUUUGUUACUCUUCAUACUUUGAAGGAUAGACAUGUUGGAUUUAA